Sinocyclocheilus grahami is the source of this 89-nucleotide long non-coding RNA. RefSeq lists it as uncharacterized. The record is from RefSeq and is a predicted model, not a curated record. NCBI's taxonomy places the organism in Eukaryota, Metazoa, Chordata, Actinopteri, Cypriniformes, Cyprinidae. The transcript has 3 exons.
AAAACUCCCAGAAUAUCAUACAGGUUUGGAACAACAUGAGGGUGAAUAAAUGAUGACAAUUCUCAUUUUAGAGUGAACCGUCCCUUUAA